RNAcentral lists this ribosomal RNA (492 nucleotides) under uncultured bacterium. RNAcentral describes it as "partial 16S ribosomal RNA". It matches the Rfam family "Bacterial small subunit ribosomal RNA", at positions 29 to 507 of the family's 1533-position model. The record is from RNAcentral.
AGUGAACGCUGGCGGUAGGCCUAACACAUGCAAGUCGAACGGCAGCACAGUAAGAGCUUGCUCUUACGGGUGGCGAGUGGCGGACGGGUGAGGAAUACAUCGGAAUCUACUUUUUCGUGGGGGAUAACGUAGGGAAACUUACGCUAAUACCGCAUACGACCUACGGGUGAGAGCAGGGGAUCUUCGGACCUUGCGCGAUUGAAUGAGCCGAUGUCGGAUUAGCUAGUUGGCGGGGUAAAGGCCCACCAAGGCGACGAUCCGUAGCUGGUCUGAGAGGAUGAUCAGCCACACUGGAACUGAGACACGGUCCAGACUCCUACGGGAGGCAGCAGUGGGGAAUAUUGGACAAUGGGCGCAAGCCUGAUCCAGCCAUACCGCGUGGGUGAAGAAGGCCUUCGGGUUGUAAAGCCCUUUUGUUGGGAAAGAAAAGCAGCAGGUUAAUACCCCGCUGUUCUGACGGUACCCAAAGAAUAAGCACUGGCUAACUUCGUG